This 396-nucleotide ribosomal RNA is filed under the name Triticum aestivum (bread wheat). RNAcentral's name for it is "partial small subunit ribosomal RNA". The record is from RNAcentral. Lineage: Eukaryota; Viridiplantae; Streptophyta; Magnoliopsida; Poales; Poaceae.
AUGAAUUCCAAAGACAGGUGCCUUAGCCUAGCCAUGAACGGGAAGCUAUCGCUGCUUUGUAUGUCACGGAUACCUCCCGGACUAAAUAUAUGGGAGCAACAAGAGAAUCAAGAAAAAAUGAACUAUGUGUCACAAUGGUUAUGCACUAAGACAAUCAAGUUAAAACAACCCAAGAAGGAGACUGACAGGACAGAGCUAUGUUCUUUGAGAGAGAAGUGUGGUACAUUGCUUAUUGGUGACAACGACAACCGUGUUUUCACUGCAGACCUCGAAACAGGAACAAUGGAGGAGGUGGAGGGUUGGCCUCGCCAGCACCUAAUGUUCCCAUGGGAGGCCAUUGCCUUGGAGAUUAAUUGGCCUGGGAUAUUUGUUUCUCGGCUUACCAGGUACAGCUAG